AGAAUAUGAUGAUUUGAAUUUAUCACCAUCUUUCGACUGAGGAAAGUGAUGAGUCAUAUUCUUACUGAUCGUUCU
Dreissena polymorpha is the source of this 75-nucleotide small nucleolar RNA. The record is from RefSeq and is a predicted model, not a curated record. NCBI's taxonomy places the organism in Eukaryota, Metazoa, Mollusca, Bivalvia, Myida, Dreissenidae.